RNAcentral lists this unclassified non-coding RNA (147 nucleotides) under soil metagenome. RNAcentral's name for it is "partial internal transcribed spacer 1". The record is from RNAcentral.
UAAUAAGUGUUUUAUGGCACUUUUUAAAUCCAUAUCCACCUUGUGUGCAAUGUCGGUCGAUCUUCUUUUGUUGAGGAUCGACCAAACAUCAACCUUUAUUUUUUAACUCUUUGUCUGAAAAAUAUUAUGAAUAAACAAUUCAAAAUA